UGCAAGUCGGACGAAGUAGCAAUACUUAGUGGCAGACGGGUGAGUAACAUGUGGGUAUCUGCCCUAUGGCCUGGAAUAACACGAGGAAACUUGUGCUAAUACCGGAUAAGUCUUUACGGAGAAAGCUUUAUGCACCAUUGGAUGAGCCUGCACUUGAUUAGUUUGUUGGUGGGGUAAUGGCCUACCAAGACUAUGAUCAAUAGCUGAUUUGAGAGGAUGAUCAGCCACAUUGGGACUGAGACACGGCCCAAACUCCUACGGGAGGCAGCAGUGGGGAAUCUUGCACAAUGGAGGAAACUCUGAUGCAGCGAUGCCGCGUGAGUGAAGAAGGCCUUUGGGUUGUAAAGCUCUUUCGUCGGGGAAGAAAAUGACUGUACCCGAAUAAGAAGGUCCGGCUAACUUCGUGCCAGCAGCCGCGGUAAUACGAAGGGACCUAGCGUAGUUCGGAAUUACUGGGCUUAAAGAGUUCGUAGGUGGUUGAAAAAGUUGGUGGUGAAAUCCCAGAGCUUAACUCUGGAACUGCCAUCAAAACUUUUCAGCUAGAGUAUGAUAGAGGAAAGCAGAAUUUCUAGUGUAGAGGUGAAAUUCGUAGAUAUUAGAAAGAAUACCAAUUGCGAAGGCAGCUUCCUGGAUCAUUACUGACACUGAGGAACGAAAGCAUGGGUAGCGAAGAGGAUUAGAUACCCUCGUAGUCCAUGCCGUAAACGAUGUGUGUUAGACGUUGGAAAUUUAUUUUCAGUGUCGCAGCGAAAGCGAUAAACACACCGCCUGGGGAGUACGACCGCAAGGUUAAAACUCAAAUGAAUUGACGGGGACCCGCACAAGUAGUGGAGCAUGUGGUUUAAUUCGAAGAUACGCGCAGAACCUUACCAACACUUGACAUGUUCGUCGCGACUCUAAGAGAUUAGAGUUUUCGGUUCGGCCGGACGAAACACAGGUGCUGCAUGGCUGUCGUCAGCUCG
Molecule: ribosomal RNA, 962 nt
Filed under: uncultured marine bacterium
Lineage: Bacteria
Description: bacterial SSU rRNA
Rfam family: Bacterial small subunit ribosomal RNA
Source: RNAcentral